GUGAACGCUGGCGGUAUGGAUAAGGCAUGCAAGUCGAAUGGGUUAGACCCAUGGCAGACGAGGUAGUAACAGGUAGGAACGUCCCCGGAAGUCGGGCAUAACCGGUCGAAAGAUCGGAUAAUUCCCGAUACGUCGCAAGAUGAAAGAUUUAUCGCUCCCGGAGCGGCCUGCCUUGUAUCAGCUAGUUGGUGAGGUAAUGGCUCACCAAGGCUACGACGCAUAGGGGACCUGAGAGGGUGACCCCCACCGAUGAGACUGAGACACGGCUCAUACCCCUACGGGGGGCCGCAGCCGAGAAUAUUCGACAAUGGGCGAAAGCCUGAUCGAGCGAUACCGCGUGGUGGAUGAAGUGCUUCGGCACGUAAACAUCUUUUAUGGAGGAGGAAGUCAUUGACGUUACUCCAUGAAUAAGGGGCUCCUAACUCUGU
This 428-nucleotide ribosomal RNA is filed under the name uncultured bacterium. Its description in RNAcentral is "bacterial SSU rRNA". It matches the Rfam family "Bacterial small subunit ribosomal RNA", at positions 29 to 506 of the family's 1533-position model. The record is from RNAcentral.